GGCCACGUGGCGAAGCAGUCUAACGCGGCGGUCUGCAAAACCGUUAUUCGCGGGUGCGAAUCCCGCCGUGGCCUCAA
This 77-nucleotide transfer RNA is filed under the name Candidatus Yanofskybacteria bacterium CG10_big_fil_rev_8_21_14_0_10_36_16. Its description in RNAcentral is "tRNA-Cys". It matches the Rfam family "tRNA". Rfam says of the family: Transfer RNA (tRNA) molecules are approximately 80 nucleotides in length. Lineage: Bacteria; Candidatus Yanofskyibacteriota. The record is from RNAcentral.